AAGUCGUAACAAGGUUUCCGUAGGUGAACCUGCGGAAGGAUCAUUGACAAAUCUAAAAUAGUUGCGUAGCGGCUAGUGAAGUGCAAGCUUUGCUAGACGACACGUCAACAAAUUCUAACCUGUGAAUCGCAGCACAUGCAAAUGUGUUGUUUGCUGUUGUGUGAAUGUGUGCGCUGAAAAGCAGCACUUUUGCAUCAACAUGCAUAAAUUAACGUAAAUCAUGUCUUAGAAAUUCAAACUAAAUACAACUUUUAGCAAUGGAUCUCUUGGCUUCU
This 275-nucleotide unclassified non-coding RNA is filed under the name fungal sp. RNAcentral describes it as "partial internal transcribed spacer region". The stretch from base 1 to 46 matches the Rfam family "Eukaryotic small subunit ribosomal RNA", at positions 1786 to 1831 of the family's 1831-position model. The record is from RNAcentral. Lineage: Eukaryota; Fungi.